ACCAAUUCUGGGGGAUUAUUAGUUCCUCCUGGUAUAAUGGCUCGGGUGCUAUAUCGGACUCUGUGGCUUAUCCUGAUUAGUGGCUUUUUUCAUUGUCAUCUAAUCCUGGAAACACCACGUACACGU
This is a small nucleolar RNA of Hevea brasiliensis (rubber tree), 126 nucleotides long. The record is from RefSeq and is a predicted model, not a curated record. NCBI's taxonomy places the organism in Eukaryota, Viridiplantae, Streptophyta, Magnoliopsida, Malpighiales, Euphorbiaceae.